UAUGCAAUCUACCUUUUACAGGGGAAUAGCCCAGAGAAAUUUGGAUUAAUGCCCCAUAGUAUAUAUCAUUCGCAUGUUUGAUAUAUUAAAGUUCCAACGGUAAAAGAUGAGCAUGCGUCCCAUUAGUUAGUUGGUAAGGUAACGGCUUACCAAGACGAUGAUGGGUAGGGGUCCUGAGAGGGAGAUCCCCCACACUGGUACUGAGACACGGACCAGACUCCUACGGGAGGCAGCAGUGAGGAAUAUUGGACAAUGGGCGCAAGCCUGAUCCAGCCAUGCCGCGUGCAGGAAGACGGUCCUAUGGAUUGUAAACUGCUUUUGUACGGGAAGAAACACUCCUACGUGUAGGAGCUUGACGGUACCGUAAGAAUAAGGAUCGGCUAACUCCGUGCCAGCAGCCGCGGUAAUACGGAGGAUCCAAGCGUUAUCCGGAAUCAU
This 438-nucleotide ribosomal RNA is filed under the name uncultured Bacteroidota bacterium. RNAcentral's name for it is "bacterial SSU rRNA". It matches the Rfam family "Bacterial small subunit ribosomal RNA", at positions 118 to 554 of the family's 1533-position model. The record is from RNAcentral. Lineage: Bacteria; Pseudomonadati; Bacteroidota.